GCCAAGCACGGUGAUGCAUGCCUGUAAUCCCAGUGGCUUGGGAGGCUGAGGCAGGAGAAUCGCAAGUUCAAAGCCAGCCUCAGCAAAAGUGAGGUGCUAAGCGACUCAGUGAGACCCUGUCUCUA
RNAcentral lists this small RNA (125 nucleotides) under Marmota monax (woodchuck). Lineage: Eukaryota; Metazoa; Chordata; Mammalia; Rodentia; Sciuridae. The record is from RNAcentral.